GUAGGUGGCAAGCGUUGUCCGGAAUUAUUGGGCGUAAAGCGCGCGCAGGCGGUUCUUUAAGUCUGAUGUGAAAGCCCACGGCUCAACCGUGGAGGGUCAUUGGAAACUGGAGAACUUGAGUACAGAAGAGGAAAGCGGAAUUCCACGUGUAGCGGUGAAAUGCGUAGAGAUGUGGAGGAACACCAGUGGCGAAGGCGGCUUUCUGGUCUGUAACUGACGCUGAGGCGCGAAAGCGUGGGGAGCAAACAGGGAUUAGAUACCCUGGUAGUCCACGCCGUAAACGAUGAGUGCUAAGUGUUAGGGGGGUUUCCCCGGCCCCCCUUAGUGCUGCAGCUAACGCAUUAAGCACUCCGCCUGGGGAGUACGGCCGCAAGGCUG
RNAcentral lists this ribosomal RNA (378 nucleotides) under uncultured organism. RNAcentral's name for it is "partial 16S ribosomal RNA". It matches the Rfam family "Bacterial small subunit ribosomal RNA", at positions 527 to 896 of the family's 1533-position model. The record is from RNAcentral.